GCCGGAGGAAGGUGGGGAUGACGUCAAAUCAUCAUGCCCCUUAUGACCUGGGCUACACACGUGCUACAAUGGAUAGUACAAAGGGUCGCGAAGCCGCGAGGUGGAGCUAAUCCCAUAAAACUAUUCUCAGUUCGGAUUGUAGGCUGCAACUCGCCUACAUGAAGCCGGAAUCGCUAGUAAUCGUGGAUCAGCAUGCCACGGUGAAUACGUUCCCGGGCCUUGUACACACCGCCCGUCACACCACGAGAGUUUGUAACACCCGAAGUCGGUAGGGUAACCUUUAUGGAGCCAGCCGCCGAAGGUGGGACAGAUAAUUGGGGUGAAGUCGUAACAAGGUAGCCGUAUCGGAAGGUGCGGCUGGAUCACCUCCUUUCUAAGGAA
RNAcentral lists this ribosomal RNA (381 nucleotides) under Listeria monocytogenes. RNAcentral describes it as "bacterial SSU rRNA". It matches the Rfam family "Bacterial small subunit ribosomal RNA", at positions 1162 to 1533 of the family's 1533-position model. Lineage: Bacteria; Bacillati; Bacillota; Bacilli; Caryophanales; Listeriaceae. The record is from RNAcentral.